GCGGGUUAUGCAACAUGACCAAGUGACAUGUAUUCUAGGAAUGCAAGAUUGGCUUAACAUUCAAAUUUCAGUCAAGGUAAUCCACCCUGUUAAUAUAAUAGAGGACAGGAACUAUAUCAUCAUCUUCAUAGACAGAGAAAAGUAUUUGACAAUAUCUGACACCCAUUAGUGAUAAAAUCAUGUCUACACAAAGACAUGUGCUCAGAUGUUCACUGCAGCAUUUUGCAGGAAGGCCCCAGGGUGGAAACAAGCCAAAUGUCUACCAAUCAGUAAAGGGAUAAAGAAGUGGUAUAUCCGUACAGCCGAAUGUUACUGAGCCGUGACAAAGAACACACUACUGAUGCACGUUUGAGCCUCCAAGACAUUAUGCUAAUUGACAGAUGUCAGACACAGAAGACCACUUAUUGCACAAGUCAGUUUAUAGGAAAUGCCCAGAGAGGCAGCUCUAAAGAGAGAGAAAGGAGCUUGCUAGUUGCCUGGGUGGGCCUGGAGGUAAAGUAAUGGGGAUUGACUGCUGCUAGUGGGUACCAGCGAUCUUUCUGGGGUGAUGGAAGUAUUCUGAAACUGGAUAGUGGUGAGGGCUGCAAAACUGUGUAAAUUUACUAAAACUCACUGUGUUAUUCCCUUUAGGUACGUGAAGUUUGUGGCAAGCAAAUUAUACCUUAGUAAAGCCAUUUAAAAAAUGUAGUGCAAGUGUGACCGUAAGUCACGGAGGAAAGGGUAUGCAGUCAUUUUUUUCUACAACAGUAAGCAACAUCCCCUCUCUUUCCCUGUUCCGCGUCCUGCCUACAUGUCCUGCCUGGUCGCCUGGCUCCUCCACGUGCACUUGAUGCUCCAGCCAGAUAGACUGUGCACACCUGGGCAGAGGGAGUGCUGGACCUGGCUUCAGUUUCCCUGGUAACCAACCUCAGCCCUUAGCUUCAACCUCUGAGCACAGGAAGACAGCCAGAGUGGGGAGGGGUGUUGUCUCACCCACAGGGCCCCUGCCGGAGCUGAGCACCCCAAUGGGAUGAGUGGCAGCACGGUUACCAAGACAACAGAACUCUCGACCCCUUUCCACCUGCAAGGCUCUUCUCCCUCUCCUGGGCCUGCCGAGCAUCAGGUCGGAAAGUGCUGCAAAGAACAUGGGGAGUAUCUGG
Molecule: long non-coding RNA, 1139 nt
Filed under: Pan troglodytes (chimpanzee)
Lineage: Eukaryota; Metazoa; Chordata; Mammalia; Primates; Hominidae
Description: long non-coding RNA NONPTRT018274
Source: RNAcentral